Molecule: long non-coding RNA, 486 nt
Organism: Apis florea (little honeybee)
Lineage: Eukaryota; Metazoa; Arthropoda; Insecta; Hymenoptera; Apidae
Source: RefSeq, a predicted model, not a curated record
UUUACCUGACCACCUUCACCCUCGACACUUUGCAGUUCUCUCCAUUCUUCGAUUGUCUGAGCCAGAUCGACUUGGCAUAGUGGAACCUUGACUUCACCGAUCUGAUCGUGUUUGGAGAACCUAUCGAAAUCGAAGAUCGCGAAAACGAGAGUUUUAUUCAUCGCAUCCGCAUAAGCUUCAUCUGGUUCUUCGGCAUUGUCAGUAAGCUCUUCCAUAUCCGGCUGGACCUUAACAAAUCGAAGUGGAUUCCACGAGUGUAGAAUGUGCGUCUAAUAUCUACAUGAAAUCAUGGAACACGAUUACGUACCUUGUCUUUGUACGUGCUGCCCAAUAGUUGAACAGAUUUUAAGUCCACCGCCCCCUUCAAUCCUUUCUUUCCAUCUUUGGAUCGUCUUUUGCGACAACAUCUUCUGAUGCAGCAGAAGCAGAUUCCGAGAACUACUACGCUUACAGCUACUCAAGCAAGAAGGGAGAAAAGAAUUGAAA